RNAcentral lists this ribosomal RNA (346 nucleotides) under uncultured bacterium. RNAcentral's name for it is "partial 16S ribosomal RNA". It matches the Rfam family "Bacterial small subunit ribosomal RNA", at positions 338 to 681 of the family's 1533-position model. The record is from RNAcentral.
CCUACGGGAGGCAGCAGUGAGGAAUAUUGGUCAAUGGACGAGAGUCUGAACCAGCCAAGUAGCGUGAAGGAUGACUGCCCUAUGGGUUGUAAACUUCUUUUAUAAAGGAAUAAAACGAGGCACGUGUGCCUUUUUGCAUGUACUGUAUGAAUAAGGAUCGGCUAACUCCGUGCCAGCAGCCGCGGUAAUACGGAGGAUCCGAGCGUUAUCCGGAUUUAUUGGGGUUAAAGGGAGCGUAGAUGGGUUGUUACGUCAGUGGUGAAAGUUUGCGGCUCAACCGUAAAAUUGCAUUUGAUACUGGCAGUCUUGCGUCCAGUUGAUGUAGGCGGAAUUCGUGGUGUAGCGG